UCGAAAAUCAUGAGCUAUAUAUACCUCUUAAAUUUCUUCACCGUGAUUAGUUUUGUGCCUUUCAGUCUCUUGAGGAUCAUGUGAUCUGCAAUGGUGAUCCAUUCUGGUGUAUCAAAUCAAAUCAUUGAUGAUAUCCAAAGGUUUUUGGUUUAGAACAAGGAAUACACGUUUAAAGCUUUGUUGUAGUUUAUGAUGAAAUGUAAUUAAUAACCUGUUCAUGUUUCUUUAUUCUGUCCUUUUUUGAUAUAUUUUUCAUGAGUAUAGUCUUCGUGUUAUUCGAUCGCCCUUUUAUGAGAAAACUAUAUCUUCUACUAAAACUCAACCCAUGUUCUUGUUUACUGCAUAAACAAAAGAAUUAUUGUAAGCAUACAUCUUUCAAACAUUAUUAUGUUAAUUAUCUUAAAUUAGUAGUAAAUUAUCCCGAUCAAACAAGAGAAGAAAUUCGAGCAAAAACAGUAUCAAGAUUUUCAUUUUUCUUGCUUAUAAGACAGACUAAAGGAAGCAAAUAUGUGUGAAUAUAGUAUAAUUUUAACGGCAUCUCCAAAACUCUUAGCCCUAAAUAACAUAAUGCUAUAUAUAUGAUUAUUUGAUACACUAGUAUGGAUCAUUUUUGAGUCACGUCACAAAGCAAGGUGUUAUGUUGUGUUCUUAGUAUGUACAUGGAAAGGGAAUUAAUCACAUGUUGGAAAGAGCUUUUUGUAAGAAAAGGAAGGCUAUAGAACCAACAAACUAUAGGGAUGAUUACAUCCAAAUACUGCGCAGGGAGUAAUUUUUUUAUGUAUUUCCAUGCAUGGAAGGACUAAUUUACGAACUUGUUAAGGACUAAUUAAUUUACAUCUUUCUUUUUUCAGGGGGAGGUAACACAGACAAAUGUAUUUGUUACUAGUCAUAUAUAUACUUUAGAGAACAAUUAUUUCACAACAAUAUUUCCUAUACUAAGCUGAGAAGUACUUCUUAUACACAAGAUCAUGAAACUGAUUAUUGAGCAGGAUUCUACAGAAAAUUUCUUCCAAAUUCCUGUAUCUUCCUUAUAAUCAGUCACGUGUGUAAUGGAUAGGGCUUACAUCCUAGCAACAUUCUCGAUCGAUAUACCACGAUGCAUUAUUGGAGGUUUUGGAAAUGGAAAACUUAACAAGCCAACAAAGCUAGCUUGGAUAAUGUUGGUUGUUGAUCUGGCAACAGAUCGAGCAAAAGAUAUGCGCUAGGGAGAAAUUCAGAGGUUCAAGUGGAAAUCGAGAAUGAUGAGUGGAUGUAAUUAUCUCCCACUGGUUCGCCAUUUGUGGAUGUGGUGCUGACAAUUAGGAGGUACUUAUUUAUGAUAGAAGAAUUGUGCUAUUACUGGUUACACACACAUGCACAUAUAUUACCUGAUACACAAUUAGGUAGGUUGGAUAAUUAUCACCCGAUACGAUAAUUAUGUGAGACUUUGUAAUUUUAUAAUUAUGUGAGACUUUGUAAUUU
This is a long non-coding RNA of Glycine soja, 1461 nucleotides long. RefSeq lists it as uncharacterized. The record is from RefSeq and is a predicted model, not a curated record. NCBI's taxonomy places the organism in Eukaryota, Viridiplantae, Streptophyta, Magnoliopsida, Fabales, Fabaceae. The transcript has 3 exons.